This 1421-nucleotide long non-coding RNA is filed under the name Olea europaea subsp. europaea. Lineage: Eukaryota; Viridiplantae; Streptophyta; Magnoliopsida; Lamiales; Oleaceae. The record is from RNAcentral.
AUCAAAGGGAGGGCAAGAAUUAGUACACUUCUAAAUGGUAUUAAUUCAUCCUCCAACUUUUCAGAAGGGAUCAACUUACACCCCUAUAAUUUUUCUUUUUUUGAUAGGUAGCACCCCUAUAAUGAAAUACAAUUACUUAUUUUCCACCUCAUACUAAAAUGGAUAAAUAAUAAAUGAACAUUUAUGACAGAGGCAGCACCAGUUGGGACAUGUCAUGCAGAAACCUAAAGAGACUUCCUUCAUAAGAGUGAAUUGAUCUAGGUAGAACGCUUUAGGAAAGGUAAGGAUAGCUUAUUUUAGUUGCUAAGCAUCAUGUUGCUUUAGUUCGUUCAAUAGAACUAGCGACCAACUGAAAGAAGUGGCAAAGAAAAUGUUAUGUAGCCAACUCCAAAUUUAUUGAGAACAAAGCAUAGUUUGCUGUUGUUCACUUGUAUCCUCCCACGCACCAGACACGGAAAGAUGCUGGCAUGAAAAGCAAAAACGUACCUAGAAGUGAGGGAAAAAAAAUUGUGUAGUGUUUACAAGGAUCAGCAGAAAUGUCUUUGAAUAAUCAAAGGAAAUUUCGCACUAAAAACAUGACAACAUACAAGUCACAAUAAAGAACACAUCUGUGGCAUUCAAACAAGUCCACUAAUUUUGCUUUCAGCUGCAUGAAGCAGUAUAAAACAACUACAGGAUUGAAAUGGUUGUUGGAGUACUUGUAAACAGCUCUCCUCUUAGAAGAAGAUUAUUGAGACACCCAUUGUGAAGCAUCCUACAGCCACCCAAGGACUCAAUCUCUCGCCUAUUCAAGGAAUUAUAUAACAGUGUCAGAAUUUCAAAGCAUACGUUAAACUUCGAAUUUCAAAGCAUACGUUAAACUUCAUACAAAAUUCAUAUGACAAGCAUCAGUUAACCUUCAAUGGUCACACAUAGAUGGAAACUAUAGCAAUAAAUAUCAUCAAUCUUUUUCUUGUUUUUCUAUUAACCAAGAAAAUUUUAAAACUAAAAUAACAAGUGUCCACUAUUAUUCCAAAAUUUAAAACCAAAAAAUGUAAGGAACACCUAACUGCCAUCAAAGUCUUUCAACCAGCAGCAAUUACCCUUAAGUUUUAAAUGAACCCCAAUAAAACAACUGAGGAAUGUUUUGCUCUUCUUAACUGAUCAUUUUCUCAAGAUAAAAUUUCAGAUGAAAAGUCUUGAACAAAAAAGCAGCCCAAGAAGUUCUAAGAGUACAUGAAUAUAUUCAUAAAUACACAACCAGUUUGCUUUUUCCUGGUGAGAAGUUGAAACAAAGAAUGAUGUCAGAAACAAGAGCAGGUAAGAGAAAAUUAACAAACAGAUCAAAUAGAUUAUCUGUUACUUUUUCCAGAAUAAAUUCAAAAGGGAUAUAUUUUUUCCAGAAUAAAUUCAAAAAGGAUACAUUAUGAACCAUGAAUUCC